CCCGCUGAACUUAAGCAUAUCAAUAAGCGGAGGAAAAGAAACCAACAGGGAUUGCCCUAGUAACGGCGAGUGAAGCGGCAACAGCUCAAAUUUGAAAUCUGGCUUCGGCCCGAGUUGUAAUUUGUAGAGGAUGCUUUCGGCGCAGCGCCUUCUGAGUUCCCUGGAACGGGACGCCAGAGAGGGUGAGAGCCCCGUACGGUUGGACGCCUAGCCUAUGUAAAGCUCCUUCGACGAGUCGAGUAGUUUGGGAAUGCUGCUCAAAAUGGGAGGUAAAUUUCUUCUAAAGCUAAAUACCGGCCAGAGACCGAUAGCGCACAAGUAGAGUGAUCGAAAGAUGAAAAGCACUUUGAAAAGAGGGUUAAACAGUACGUGAAAUUGUUGAAAGGGAAGCGCUCGUGACCAGACUUGCGCUCAGCGGAUCAUCCAGCGUUCUCGCUGGUGCACUCCGCUGUGCUCAGGCCAGCAUCGGUUUUUCUGGGGGGAUAAAAGCUCCGGGAACGUGGCUCCUCCGGGAGUGUUAUAGCUCGUUGCACAAUGCCUUCAGAGGGACCGAGGUUCGCGCUCCGCAAGGAUGCUGGCGUAAUGGUUAUCGGCGACCCGUCUUGAAACACGG
RNAcentral lists this ribosomal RNA (613 nucleotides) under uncultured fungus. RNAcentral describes it as "eukaryotic LSU rRNA". It matches the Rfam family "Eukaryotic large subunit ribosomal RNA", at positions 24 to 664 of the family's 3401-position model. The record is from RNAcentral. Lineage: Eukaryota; Fungi.